AGUUUGAUCCUGGCUCAGAUUGAACGCUAGCGGGAUGCCUUACACAUGCAAGUCGAACGGCAGCACGGACUUCGGUCUGGUGGCGAGUGGCGAACGGGUGAGUAAUGUAUCGGAACGUGCCCAGUAGCGGGGGAUAACUACGCGAAAGCGUAGCUAAUACCGCAUACGCCCUACGGGGGAAAGCAGGGGAUCGCAAGACCUUGCACUAUUGGAGCGGCCGAUAUCGGAUUAGCUAGUUGGUGGGGUAACGGCUCACCAAGGCGACGAUCCGUAGCUGGUUUGAGAGGACGACCAGCCACACUGGGACUGAGACACGGCCCAGACUCCUACGGGAGGCAGCAGUGGGGAAUUUUGGACAAUGGGGGAAACCCUGAUCCAGCCAUCCCGCGUGUGCGAUGAAGGCCUUCGGGUUGUAAAGCACUUUUGGCAGGAAAGAAACGUCGCGGGUUAAUACCCCGCGAAACUGACGGUACCUGCAGAAUAAGCACCGGCUAACUACGUGCCAGCAGCCGCGGUAAUACGUAGGGUGCAAGCGUUAAUCGGAAUUACUGGGCGUAAAGCGUGCGCAGGCGGUUCGGAAAGAAAGAUGUGAAAUCCCAGAGCUUAACUUUGGAACUGCAUUUUUAACUACCGGGCUAGAGUGUGUCAGAGGGAGGUGGAAUUCCGCGUGUAGCAGUGAAAUGCGUAGAUAUGCGGAGGAACACCGAUGGCGAAGGCAGC
RNAcentral lists this ribosomal RNA (720 nucleotides) under uncultured bacterium. RNAcentral's name for it is "bacterial SSU rRNA". It matches the Rfam family "Bacterial small subunit ribosomal RNA", at positions 10 to 725 of the family's 1533-position model. The record is from RNAcentral.